Oncorhynchus masou masou (cherry salmon) is the source of this 1480-nucleotide long non-coding RNA. RefSeq lists it as uncharacterized. Lineage: Eukaryota; Metazoa; Chordata; Actinopteri; Salmoniformes; Salmonidae. The record is from RefSeq and is a predicted model, not a curated record. The transcript has 3 exons.
AUUGUAAAAGCAGGUUCCACUGCAACAAUGCUUUAGCGUAAUUAUGAGUCAUUUGCUUUGGGGGCAAGAAUUCUUUCUUUGAACACCGUAAACAAAGCCCCGGAGUCCUCCCCAAAUACCCAUUUUGUUUUUGCUAUUCCAUUAUGACAGAAUCAACCCCCAUAUGAUGUGCAGUAUUUCGUACCAGUGUUUAGGUCACAUUUAGUUUUCCAGUGUCCAGUGACAGAGAAACAUAUCUUAUUGUUUUUAUUUAUUGAUUUAUUUUGUUGAAUUUUUAUUUAUUUUUUACCAUUUGUCGAGAGACCUAUCUGGUGGUGUCUCACGGAAUUGCAGGACUGAUUAUUGGAAAGUCAGUUUAUAAUUGGCAGCUAGCUCCAUUUGAAUGAUACAGCAGCAACACCUGGUCAACAGCAUCGGCUUUUAGGCCUCCUGCUCCUAGAGGGAAGUGGUGUGAGGUGAUGCAGAGGCUCGCCUCGCAGGGCGCUUUUAGGCCUCCUGCUCCUAGAGGGAAGUGGUGUGAGGUGAUGCAGAGGCUCGCCUCGCAGGGCGCUUUUAGGCCUCCUGCUCCUAGAGGGAAGCGGUGUGAGGUGAUGCAGAGGCUCGCCUCGCAGGGCGCUUUUAGGCCUCCUGCUCCUAGAGGGAAGCGGUGUGAGGUGAUGCAGAGGCUCGCCUCGCAGGGCGCUUUUAGGCCUCCUGCUCCUAGAGGGAAGUGGUGUGAGGUGAUGCAGAGGCUCGCCUCGCAGGGCGCUUUUAGGCCUCCUGCUCCUAGAGGGAAGCGGUGUGAGGUGAUGCAGAGGCUCGCCUCGCAGGGCGCUUUUAGGCCUCCUGCUCCGGCUCCUAGAGGGAAGCGGUGUGAGGUGAUGCAGAGGCUCGCCUCGCAGGGCGCUUUUAGGCCUCCUGCUCCUUGAGGGAAGCGGUGUGAGGUGAUGCAGAGGCUCGCCUCGUAGGGCGCUUUUAGGCCUCCUGCUCCUAGAGGGAAGCGGUGUGAGGUGAUGCAGAGGCUCGCCUCGCAGGGCGCUUUUAGGCCUCCUGCUCCAGCUCCUAGAGGGAAGCGGUGUGAGGUGAUGCAGAGUUUCGCCUCGCAGGGCGCUUUUAGGCCUCCGGCUCCUAGAGGGAAGUGGUGUGAGGUGAUGCAGAGGCUCGCCUCGCAGGGCGCUUUUAGGCCUCCUGCUCCUAGAGGGAAGUGGUGUGAGGUGAUGCAGAGGCUCGCCUCGCAGGGCGCUUUUAGGCCUCCUGCUCCUAGAGGGAAGUGGUGUGAGGUGAUGCAGAGGCUCGCCUCGCAGGGCGCUUUUAGGCCUCCUGCUCCUAGAGGGAAGUGGUGUGAGGUGAUGCAGAGGCUCGCCUCACAGGGCGCUUUUAGGCCUCCUGCUCCUAGAGGGAAGCGGUGUGAGGUGAUGCAGAGGCUUGCCUCGCAGGGCGCUUUUAGGCCUCCUGCUCCUAGAGGGAAGCGGUGUGAGGUGAUGCAGAGGCUCGCCUCGCA